Vicugna pacos (alpaca) is the source of this 82-nucleotide non-coding RNA. The record is from RefSeq and is a predicted model, not a curated record. NCBI's taxonomy places the organism in Eukaryota, Metazoa, Chordata, Mammalia, Artiodactyla, Camelidae.
UGGUACUGACAAGCCCACAGGAAACAUCCUGACCAGGCGCACCUGUGAAUGACUGCAGCGAGGAGGAAAUGAACACAUCCCC